CCUACGGGAGGCAGCAGUGAGGAAUAUUGGGCAAUGGAGGCAACUCUGACCCAGCCAUGCCGCGUGAGUGAAGAGGGUUUUCGGAUUGUAAAGCUCUUUCGGAUGUGACGAUGAUGACGGUAGCAUCUAAAGAAGCCCCGGCUAACUUCGUGCCAGCAGCCGCGGUAAUACGUAGGGGGCAAGCGUUAUCCGGAUUUACUGGGUGUAAAGGGAGCGUAGGCGGUUUAGCAAGUCAGAAGUGAAAGCCCGGGGCUCAACUCCGGGACUGCUUUUGAAACUGUUGAACUAGAUUGCAGGAGAGGUAAGUGGAAUUCCUAGUGUAGCGGUGAAAUGCGUAGAUAUUAGGAGGAACACCAGUGGCGAAGGCGGCUUACUGGACUGUAAAUGACGCUGAGGCUCGAAAGCGUGGGGAGCAAACAGGAUUAGAUACCCUGGUAGUC
Molecule: ribosomal RNA, 440 nt
Filed under: uncultured bacterium
Lineage: Bacteria
Description: partial 16S ribosomal RNA
Rfam family: Bacterial small subunit ribosomal RNA
Source: RNAcentral